RNAcentral lists this ribosomal RNA (427 nucleotides) under uncultured eukaryote. Its description in RNAcentral is "bacterial SSU rRNA". It matches the Rfam family "Eukaryotic small subunit ribosomal RNA", at positions 592 to 1018 of the family's 1831-position model. The record is from RNAcentral.
CAAUAGCGUAUAUUAAAGUUGUUGCAGUUAAAAAGCUCGUAGUUGGAUUUCUGGGCUGAGCGACCGGUCCGCCGCUGUGCGGUGUGUACUCGUGUUCGACUCGGCUCAUCCUUGUGGGGAAACGCAUUUCGGCAUUAGGUUGUCGAGGCGGGGAACCGCAUCGUUUACUGUGAAAAAUUAGAGUGUUUAAAGCAGGCAAAUUGCUGUGAAUACAUUAGCAUGGAAUAAUAACAUAGGACUUUGGUUCUAUUUUGUUGGUUGGAGGCCAAGGUAAUGAUUAAUAGGGAUAGUUGGGGGUAUUCAUAUUUAAUUGUCAGAGGUGAAAUUCUUGGAUUUCCGAAAGACGAACUACUGCGAAAGCAUUUACCAAGGAUGUUUUCAUUAAUCAAGAACGAAAGUUAGGGGAUCGAAGACGAUCAGAUACCGU